This 492-nucleotide ribosomal RNA is filed under the name uncultured bacterium. RNAcentral describes it as "partial 16S ribosomal RNA". It matches the Rfam family "Bacterial small subunit ribosomal RNA", at positions 29 to 507 of the family's 1533-position model. The record is from RNAcentral.
AGUGAACGCUGGCGGUAGGCCUAACACAUGCCAGUCGAACGGCAGCACAGUAAGAGCUUGCUCUUACGGGUGGCGAGUGGCGGACGGGUGAGGAAUACAUCGGAACCUACUUUUUCGUGGGGGAUAACGUAGGGAAACUUACGCUAAUACCGCAUACGACCUACGGGUGAAAGCAGGGGAUCUUCGGACCUUGCGCGAUUGAAUGAGCCGAUGUCGGAUUAGCUAGUUGGCGGGGUAAAGGCCCACCAAGGCGACGAUCCGUAGCUGGUCUGAGAGGAUGAUCAGCCACACUGGGACUGAGACACGGUCCAGACUCCUACGGGAGGCAGCAGUGGGGAAUAUUGGACAAUGGGCGCAAGCCUGAUCCAGCCAUACCGCGUGGGUGAAGAAGGCCUUCGGGUUGUAAAGCCCUUUUGUUGGGAAAGAAAAGCAGCAGGUUAAUACCCCGCUGUUCUGACGGUACCCAAAGAAUAAGCACCGGCUAACUUCGUG